CAGUAGCCGCGGUAAUACGUAGGGUGCGAGCGUUAAUCGGAAUUACUGGGCGUAAAGCGUGCGCAGGCGGUUAUAUAAGUCAGAUGUGAAAUCCCCGGGCUCAACCUGGGAACUGCAUUUGAGACUGUAUGGCUAGAGUGUGUCAGAGGGGGGUAGAAUUCCACGUGUAGCAGUGAAAUGCGUAGAUAUGUGGAGGAAUACCGAUGGCGAAGGCAGCCCCCUGGGAUAACACCGACGCUCAUGCACGAAAGCGUGGGGAGCAAACAGGAUUAGAUACCCCUGUAGUCCCUGUCUCUUAUAC
Molecule: ribosomal RNA, 301 nt
Filed under: uncultured bacterium
Lineage: Bacteria
Description: partial 16S ribosomal RNA
Rfam family: Bacterial small subunit ribosomal RNA
Source: RNAcentral